AUGGCCUCCCAAAAUUGCGACCCAGCCACCACUAGCAUCGCAGCCUCCCACAAAGGAGCAGAGCCAAGCUGGGGUGCCGCUGGGGGUCCCAUGGGCAAAACAACAGGAGCUCAUGACUCAUAAUGUGUGGCAGCAAGGGCAUUUCUGCCUUCCCUGAAUCAGACCACCUUUUCACAUGGGUAGGGGCCAUCCAUGGAGCAGCUGCCACAAUAUAUGAAGACCUGAGGUAUAAGCAUAAGCUCUCACUAGAGUUCCCCAGUGACUACCCUUACAAUGCACCCAGGUGAAAUUCCUCACACCCUGCUACUAUCCCAGUGUGGACACCCAGGGUAACAUAUGCCUGGACAUCCUGAAGGACAAGUGGUCUGCCCUGUAUGACAUCAGGACCAUUCUGCUCUCCAUCCAGAACACUCUCCAUCUCCAGCCUACUAGGAGAACCCAACAUUGAUAGCCCCUUGAACACACAUGCUGCCAAACCCUGGAAAAACCCCACAGCUUUUAAGAAGUAUCUGCAAGAAACCUACUCAAAACAGGUCACCAGUCAGGAGCCCUGA
Molecule: long non-coding RNA, 554 nt
Filed under: Homo sapiens (human)
Lineage: Eukaryota; Metazoa; Chordata; Mammalia; Primates; Hominidae
Description: non-protein coding lnc-STRN3-12:1
Source: RNAcentral